GAUUAACAGUCACAAAAAAUGCGACGAGCAGGACUAAUUUAUUUUUUCGAAUGCAACGAAUUUCAUCACUCCUCUUUCGACUAAUCCAACUGUAGCGGCACACGAGAACAAAACUUUCCAACGGUUCCGUCGGUACAAAGUAUAUCACCGAAGCGUAAAGCCGAAUAUUUCGGUCGAAUAUUUCGAAGAAGGCUACAUGGCAACGGUCGCGGACGUCUAACGAACGCGUGCGUAGUGGCGAUAUUGGGGGGCGACAAACACAAACGAAUCGGAUUAUGAAAACAGUCGAGUUGUAACCGAGAAGCGACAAAAGUCAGUUGGAAUCGAGAAUUGUAUGAAAACAGUCGAAAGCGAGGAUUGUUAAUAAAUAUACUGUUGAACACUGCCGAGUAUUUCUUUGGCACCCUAAACGGAAAGAGGUGAACGUGUUUGUGCUACAUAAAGACACCGUGUCCGUAAAAUCAAGAGUGUUCGUAAUGGUUAACCACAACGAGAAAAGGCGCGCAACGAGCGCCACAGACCGCGGAGACAUAACCUUUUGUUGACAAUUUCUACGAAAAAUUCGAUGCUCCACGGUACGAUGCUUUUUUACUGUCUCUCAUAUAAUGAUCGCGUAACUCUUUUCUUCUCGUUGGAAAGCUGGACGAGUUAAAAGAAUAAAAAAUUUAUUGAAAUUCCAACGAUUUGGAUUGUAACAGAAGGUAAAAAUAUGUAACCUGCGUAGAUCGUUUUCGAUGCAAACGCAAUUUCGAUUCCAGCAAUUUCCCAAGCUAUCCAACCUGGAUCAUAGCCACUGGAAAAAUAUAUUUACCAUAAACUACACAUUUGCAAUGUAGAUAAGGGGACAAGCAUAGAAAUCUCUCGUUAUUUCACAAAAUAACCUUUCCUUCCUUUAUACGAUAUAUGCUAACGAUGAAGGAUAAAAACUGACAAGUCGAUUAUGCGAGAUGUCCAAUUUAAAAAAAAAUUUUUGGUAUUAAAAAGUAACCGAUGAUGUAUCAAGGUUAAUUUUUACUUGUACCUCGGUUCAAAUUUUUCGAUGAAUGUGGCGUAUCGCGUGACGAAGUUUACCAUGGUGAUGGAACAAGUUAGGAUUUUUUUCAUUGAUCACCUGUCGUUCUAUCCGCUUACACGAUAUACGUAUUUUCUAAUCGCCUGGUCAAUCGUUGCAAAGGGAGUUUUUUCGAUUGGCGAAGUUGCAAAAUGUUCGUCGCUGUAUAAACUAAUAUCGCAUCGAAUUUUCUAAUCGCCUUAAACAACAUUAUUAUCGUCAACAUUCUGUUGCCAUCUCGUACACCGUUUGAUUUCAAAUUCGUAUAGUAAAGGAUUUUCGUCUGCUUGCUUUUGCUCGACAAAUACUACUAUGCUACAAAUACCAUCUACUUUGAGAAACUUUGAUUGUGCGCAAGAAAGGGGAGUAAACGAGAGAAGCAAGAACUCGGUAAGCUGCGUAACGUUUGAAAAGAGCACAUUGGUGAAAAGCUGAUUCACGGAAAAGAGCAAUCGUAGGUUGCGGAAUAUCGGCUUUGAGGAAAAAGCCCGACGUUUUCCACUUGUCGUACGUGACCGCGUUGAUAAGCGGACAAAGAGUGCAAUUAACCAGGCAUAGUCGGAAUAACGAUAAGCCGUCGGAAGCGGUUCUCGAAAGAGCCGAGGAAGGUGCGAACGAGCGAACCACGCGAAAGGAACGGUCAUAAAGCAACAACGUGACACGACAGCGAAACGCAUAAAAAGGAGAGUAAAGUGACCGCGCUUGCUUGAAUUUAGAACGAGUUUAGAACGAGUUGGAAAGCUUGCAGUUAUUUAUAUUUCUCCACUUCUCGGUCCUUGCUGAUUUCAUUGGAUGCGUCACGAUGCGAAUCGUUUUUCUAGCUCACCUUGCCUACCCUCCAUUAAGAUGAUUAUUAUUAUACGAUAUUAUUUUUAUAUUAUUAUUUCAUAUAUUAUACAACUUACGACUUGUUUGAGAUACACGUUACAUUUUCAUUCUGUAAUCGAUUUUACGUAAUGUUUACGUUGGAUACGCGAUGGUGGCUGUACAAAGCUAUACACGUACGAAUACUAGUACAUUUCUUACUAUUAAUUUGCCAGAUGAUUAAUUAGUCAAGAAACGACAAAUCUUCUAAUCUGACAUUUAAAAAAUAUUAAUUAUAAAAUUCAAUGCUAUAUAUUGCAUAAUAUUGUUGAGGUUAACUGAUAGAGGAAUCAAUUGAUGAAUUUGUAAUAGAAAAGUAUAUUGAAGUUGACUGGUAGAGGAACCAAUUGAUGAAUUUGUAAUAGAAAAGUAUAUUGAAGUUGACUGGUAGAGGAACCAAUUGAUGAAUUUGUAAUAGAAAAGUAUAUUGAAGUAAGUAUAAGUACAGGUAUAGUGUAUGAGGUCAAAAUCAAGUAAAUUGUUAUCAUUAUUUAUUAAUUUAAUGUAUGGUAUUGUUGAGGUUAACUGAUAGAGGAACCAAUUGAUGAAUUUGUAAUAGAAAAGUAUAUUGAAAUAAGUAUAAGUAUAGGUAUAGUGUAUGCUGAUCCAGAUCCUCACACUUUCAGUGUUACAAUACAAUAGAAUAUGAUAGGGCGCACGUUCAUAUAUUUAUAACAAAGGACAUUAGCAAAAAAGUUAAACCUGUAGCUGUAGCUGAAUGCUACAAGAAACAGCAAUAGAAAUCUACUUGUNAGUUGUUUUGUUUCUACACCUUGUAACCCAAAACAAAAUUUAUAUUCAAGAGCACAAUAAUAUGCACCUCUCCUUAUUUAG
Long non-coding RNA from Bombus pyrosoma, 2749 nucleotides. RefSeq lists it as uncharacterized. NCBI's taxonomy places the organism in Eukaryota, Metazoa, Arthropoda, Insecta, Hymenoptera, Apidae. The record is from RefSeq and is a predicted model, not a curated record. The transcript has 4 exons.